GCUGAAGCCAUUCCCUGGGUCACCUCCGAAGGCACCUUAUUCCUCCCAUGGAGGAACGUGCUGCUCCUCCAAGGCCCUCAGAAGAUGGAGCCUGAAAUUAGCUUGUGCUAAUGAUACAGAGCUGACUGGAAAACUUUGGCGGAGGGCUGGGAGGAGGGCUGUAUAAACCCCGCGCAGCGGUGACACAGCAGGUGCAAGUCAUUAGUGUAGCAAUGAGCUCAGUGCAGAGUUUGGUUUGUCAGGUUUCUCUGACAGACUGUAAAUACUCACACCUUGCUCCUAGAACAGAUGAGAAGAAAGUACUGGCACCAAGUGUACUGCAAAUCCAGUAACUAGUGUGCUGCUAUUGUGGAUAUUUGAAGUUAAUCACAGCUGAUGGAAAGUGCUUCAUGCAGCACACUGAAGGCAUAUUAAAGAUUAUUAAGCAUUCAGGGAUGGCUGAAGUGCUACAGUAAUUGCAGAAGAAGUGCAAGAAGCAAAGGG
This is a long non-coding RNA of Hirundo rustica (Barn swallow), 483 nucleotides long. RefSeq lists it as uncharacterized. NCBI's taxonomy places the organism in Eukaryota, Metazoa, Chordata, Aves, Passeriformes, Hirundinidae. The record is from RefSeq and is a predicted model, not a curated record. The transcript has 4 exons.